Molecule: long non-coding RNA, 661 nt
Organism: Hippocampus comes (tiger tail seahorse)
Lineage: Eukaryota; Metazoa; Chordata; Actinopteri; Syngnathiformes; Syngnathidae
Exons: 3
Source: RefSeq, a predicted model, not a curated record
UUACCCCUGCACUGUGAGGCGGACACACUAACCAAUCGCCCACCGGGCCGCCCAGUAUGAUACAGACGUACAAAUUUCCAUGGCGGCUCCUCAGUAAUCUGCAGGAAUGUUCCUCGUUCUUAGCAGAGGAUAAAGCAUCUAUGCCUAUGUCAAGAGAAUGGCCGAAAGAAAGGCACAUGCUGGCCGAGCGGCACUCGCUGCCUCUGAGCCUCGUGAGCCUGGGCAACGGAGGAUGAGGGGAGGGGCCGGCGGCGGCGGCGGCGGCAUGUGACCGCCGAGGAUGGGCUGCUUUUCCUCAUUCCUAAACGAAGGACAAUUGCAGAGUUGUAACUCUACUCGUGCUCGGCUGCCCUCCCCGCCCGGGCGUCGGCCAGCACACCUGCGGAAGGAAACGAGGGUCGGAUGCGGCCCUUCAUCUAAAAGCUCCGGUGACCUGGGAGUCGGACGCGUGCGUCACGUAUUUGGAGUGAGAGAUAAUCUACCAGCUGUUCGGUGGGCGGGAAGGGAGGGGCGCUGACGCAGGUCUUUCCUGAACUUCGCGACACCUCACCCAGUGCAACUUGAGUUUGGUUUCGACAUGUUUGUUUCGUUUAGGGCACACAGAGACUAACAACCAUUCGUGUUCACAAUCACACCGAGGGACAAUUUGGAGUGCCCAAUC